This 1477-nucleotide long non-coding RNA is filed under the name Rattus norvegicus (Norway rat). Its description in RNAcentral is "long non-coding RNA NONRATT030477". Lineage: Eukaryota; Metazoa; Chordata; Mammalia; Rodentia; Muridae. The record is from RNAcentral.
AGACAUUUCCAUUAAGUCCUGCAGUUUCCCCCAAGAAGCAUCCACUCAAACUUACAUUAAUAAACUAUGGAGCUUUUGUGGUGAGGUGGGCCAAAAGGCAGGGAACUUGGAAUCUGGGAGUGGCAAAGAGAAAUACGUAUUAUCCAUCCACUAACACACUGUCAAGAGCACAGGAAAAAAAAAACAACAACAAAAGAAUUUCUUACUUUUGUCAAUAACAUCAUUUAUCAGGGAGCACUAAAAAAUCACUGACUCGUUGCAGUUAAAGUUUUUUUUUUGUCGUUUUUUUGUUUUUUGUUUUUUUUUUUAAUCUAGUACGUUAGUCUAAAAAUAGAAUAAAAUAAAAGGCAGGAGGAAAAUCCCUUCUGGGAAGUAAUUAAAAUGAAUUCAUCAGAUCUGGCAGGGUUAUGAGAGAUUAAUAAAAUCUGAAAUAUUUAACUUGCUUCAUUUACAUGAAAAUUCACUAGCCAUUAUUUACUACGAACACGGACAAAAGUCAUCUAUAAAAGUACAGGGACAAUGUCAAAAGCUGAAAUGGGCACCCCAGCAUUGGGGAUGUUUUCGCUUGCUUUUAACUUAGAAAAGAUGAUUUUUGUAAAAAGUGACAUUUUUCUUAGAACAUCAAAAUAUCCUCAGACAAUAUUGAAGAUAAUCAGCAAGAAAAGGGGAAUAGGCGCACUGAGCUAUCUGUACCAGCAGACUACAUUGAUACGAAAAGAGAACAUUAAAAAAGAAGAAGCCGGAGAGAUGGAAAGGAGAGAACUGAGGGGACACACAAUGAAAGAGUGAAAACUUAUCCCCAAAACCCCAAGAAUAUUUAGGAACUAUGCAUCUGAAAGUGAAGAAGAAUAAUGAUUAAACCUUUAGUAGAAUUAGACUAACUACUUUACUGUGGUCUACUUGUACUGUCAUUUCAACGGGUGGGGGUGGUUAGAGGCUCAAAGGGUGGCACUGUAUACCCAUAGGGGCCUUCUAAGGUUUCAAAGGACUGAAUCAUCAUACCCAAAGGGCUACUCUUAUUCUUUCUAUCCUACAUAAGCAUUUUUUGCAUCUCCUCCCCCCCAAUACUUGUCUGGUUUUUUUUUUUUUUUUUACCUUAGUGAUGAAAGUAUUAGGGUACUUUGGCCAACAAUGUCAGAAAAUCCAGAUGGAGACAAAAAUCAAAUGUCCCUAGUCAAAGAAUGUGCCAUUUUGGGGGGCUGCAAAAUGCCUGAAGACCUACCUAUGUACAGUGAGAAUGAUUAAAACAAAUAGAAGUCUGUCAGGACCAGUCAUGUAAAAAGGUAGGCGUCACAGGCUGACCCAAAGACACAAAGGCAGAAGAACUGCAAGACUUUAGCAUUCAGUGGCUGCACAAAACCAGUUUAGGGUUCUGGUUUUAUUUUUGCUGUGUCCCUACAAGGUAAAGCCGUCAUUUCUGGGGAUUCCAAGAUGACUUUGUCCAAGAACAGCCAGUGAGAAUAAGAAAUGGAACCUC